This 64-nucleotide transfer RNA is filed under the name Aphis nerii (oleander aphid). RNAcentral's name for it is "tRNA-Arg". Lineage: Eukaryota; Metazoa; Arthropoda; Insecta; Hemiptera; Aphididae. The record is from RNAcentral. RNAcentral also lists the same sequence under 1 other name.
AAAUAAGAAGUAAUAAAUUACAUAUUAAUUUCGACUUAAUAAUAGAUUCUUUAAUCCUUAUUUU